CUUGGUCAUUUAGAGGAAGUAAAAGUCGUAACAAGGUUUCCGUAGGUGAACCUGCGGAAGGAUCAUUAUCGAAAUUAUUGGUGAGGGUUGUAGCUGGCCUUUCGAGGCAUGUGCACGCUCGAGCCCUUAAUCCACUUUACACCUGUGCACUUAAUGUAGGUCGCCCUUAAAAAAGGUGACCUAUGCCUUAUCAUCAACCCAUCGUAUGUCUCAUAGAAUGUAAUCGAUAUCCUCGCCCUGAAAAAGCGUUGAUAAACUUAUACAACUUUCAACAACGGAUCUCUUGGCUCUCGCAUCGAUGAAGAACGCAGCGAAAUGCGAUAAGUAAUGUGAAUUGCAGAUUUUCAGUGAAUCAUCGAAUCUUUGAACGCACCUUGCGCUCCUUGGUAUUCCGAGGAGCAUGCCUGUUUGAGUGUCAUUAAAUUCUCAACUCCAAGGGUUUCACGACCUUUCGGAGAUUGGACUUGGAGGUGCUGGCCGCAUAUUGGUCGGCUCCUCUCAAAUGCAUCAGCGGAAUUCAACCUUUGGCUUCCGGAUGUCAGUGUGAUAAUCAUGUUGCGCUGUCGUUUGAUCCCUCAGAGUCCGCUUAUAAUGGUCUUCGGACAAAAUCAUCAUCAAAUUUGACCUCAAAUCAGGUAGGACUACCCGCUGAACUUAAGCAUAUCAAUAAGCGGAGGA
Molecule: ribosomal RNA, 678 nt
Filed under: uncultured fungus
Lineage: Eukaryota; Fungi
Description: eukaryotic LSU rRNA
Rfam family: 5.8S ribosomal RNA (bases 264-418)
Source: RNAcentral